Molecule: ribosomal RNA, 328 nt
Filed under: uncultured eukaryote
Lineage: Eukaryota
Description: partial 18S ribosomal RNA
Rfam family: Eukaryotic small subunit ribosomal RNA
Source: RNAcentral
CCCUUAGAUGUCCGGGGCUGCACGCGCGCUACACUGAAGGAAUCAGCGUGCUAAAACCAUUGUCGAAAGGCAUUGGUAAACCCAUUAAAAUCCUACGUGAUUGGGAUCGGGAAUUGCAAUUAUUUCCCUUGAACGAGGAAUUCCCAGUAAGUGUGGGUCAUAAGCUCGCGUUGAUUACGUCCCUGCCCUUUGGACACACCGCCCGUCGCUGCCCGGGACUGAGCCGUUUCGAGAAAAGCGGGGACUGCUGCUGUCGGGGCUUUCGGGCCUUGGCUUCGGUGGAAACCGCUUUAAUCGCAGUGGCUUGAACCGGGCAAAAGUCGUAACA